GUGGGGAAUUUUGGACAAUGGGCGCAAGCCUGAUCCAGCAAUGCCGCGUGCAGGAAGAAGGCCUUCGGGUUGUAAACUGCUUUUGUACGGAACGAAACGGCUCUGGUUAAUACCCGGGGCUAAUGACGGUACCGUAAGAAUAAGCACCGGCUAACUACGUGCCAGCAGCCGCGGUAAUACGUAGGGUGCAAGCGUUAAUCGGAAUUACUGGGCGUAAAGCGUGCGCAGGCGGUUUUGUAAGACAGGCGUGAAAUCCCCGGGCUCAACCUGGGAAUGGCGCUUGUGACUACAAAGCUGGAGUGCGGCAGAGGGGGAUGGAAUUCCGCGUGUAGCAGUGAAAUGCGUAGAUAUGUGGAGGAACACCGAUGGCGAAGGCAAUCCCCUGGGCCUGCACUGACGCUCAUGCACGAAAGCGUGGGGAGCAAACAGGAUUAGAUACCCUGGUAGUCC
This 450-nucleotide ribosomal RNA is filed under the name uncultured bacterium. RNAcentral's name for it is "partial 16S ribosomal RNA". It matches the Rfam family "Bacterial small subunit ribosomal RNA", at positions 354 to 796 of the family's 1533-position model. The record is from RNAcentral.